AUUGAACGCUGGCGGCAGGCCUAACACAUGCAAGUCGAGCGGAGCGGCGGACGGGUGAGUAAGGCCUAGGAAUCUGCCUGGUAGUGGGGGAUAACGUCCGGAAACGGGAGAUAAUAACGCAUACUAUCAGAUGAGCCUCGGUCGGAUGAGGUAGGUGGUGGGGGAAAGGCCUACCAAGGAGACGAUCCGUAACUGGACUGAGAGGAUGAUCAGUCAAACUGGGACGGGGACACGGUCCAAACUCCUACGGGAGGCAGCAGGUGGUAAUAUUGGACAAUGGGCGAAAGCUUGAUCCAGCCAGGCCGCGUGUGGGAAUAAGGUCUUCGGAUUGUAAAGCACUUGAAGUGAGAAGGCGUUACUCGCAGAAUAAGCAACGGCUAACUCCGUGCCAGCAGCCGCGGUAAUAC
RNAcentral lists this ribosomal RNA (407 nucleotides) under uncultured bacterium. RNAcentral describes it as "partial 16S ribosomal RNA". It matches the Rfam family "Bacterial small subunit ribosomal RNA", at positions 29 to 526 of the family's 1533-position model. The record is from RNAcentral.